Molecule: ribosomal RNA, 482 nt
Filed under: uncultured bacterium
Lineage: Bacteria
Description: partial 16S ribosomal RNA
Rfam family: Bacterial small subunit ribosomal RNA
Source: RNAcentral
AUUGAACGCUGGCGGCAUGCCUUACACAUGCAAGUCGAACGGUAACAGGUCUUCGGAUGCUGACGAGUGGCGAACGGGUGAGUAAUACAUCGGAACGUGCCCAGACGUUGGGGAUAACGUGACGAAAGCUUUGCUAAUACCGCAUACGAUCUAAGGAUGAAAGCCGGGGACCGCAAGGCCUUGCGCGUUUGGAGCGGCCGAUGGCAGAUUAGGUAGUUGGUGGGAUAAAAGCUUACCAAGCCGACGAUCUGUAGCUGGUCUGAGAGGACGACAAGCCACACGGGGACUGAGACACGGCCCAGACUCCUACGGGAGGCAGCAGUGGGGAAUUUUGGACAAUGGGCGAAAGCCUGAUCCAGCAAUGCCGCGUGCAGGAUGAAGGCCUUCGGGUUGUAAACUGCUUUUGUACGGAACGAAAAGGCUCUGGCUAAUACCUGGGGCACAUGACGGUACCGUAAGAAUAAGCACCGGCUAACUACGUG